AUUUAUAUUUAUUAAUAACACACACAUACUUCAACGUUGUCCGGGGUGCCAAUAUUUUUGGUCGGAUUCAGCGGGUAUGUGGAGGCUCAAC
This 91-nucleotide small RNA is filed under the name Catenovulum agarivorans DS-2. Its description in RNAcentral is "t44 RNA". It matches the Rfam family "t44 RNA". From Rfam's summary of the family: This family consists of a number of bacterial RNA genes of between 135 and 170 bases in length. The t44 gene is found between the map and rpsB genes in all species in the full alignment apart from Shigella flexneri. Lineage: Bacteria; Pseudomonadati; Pseudomonadota; Gammaproteobacteria; Alteromonadales; Alteromonadaceae. The record is from Rfam by way of RNAcentral.